Molecule: transfer RNA, 76 nt
Filed under: Rhodanobacter glycinis
Lineage: Bacteria; Pseudomonadati; Pseudomonadota; Gammaproteobacteria; Lysobacterales; Rhodanobacteraceae
Description: tRNA-OTHER
Rfam family: tRNA
About the family: Transfer RNA (tRNA) molecules are approximately 80 nucleotides in length.
Source: RNAcentral
CGGGGCGUAGCGCAGCCUGGUAGCGCAUCUGCCUGGGGGCAGAGGGUCGUCGGUUCGAAUCCGGCCGCCCCGACCA